UGAGUACGAGAUGCUACGGCAUCGAAGCAGUCUAUGUCAUACUUCCAAGAAAAGCUUGCAAUGUCAUAAACAAAUAAUGCCUGUACCAUAACCGACACAGGUGGGUAGGUAGAGUAUACUAAGGGGCGCGAGAUAACUCUCUCUAAGGAACUCGGCAAAAUGACUCCGUAACUUCGGGAGAAGGAGUGCCUUAUUUUUAUAAGGUUGCAAUAACAAGAUCCAAGCAACUGUUUACCAAAAACACAGGUCUCCGCUAAGUCGUAAGACGAUGUAUGGGGGCUGACGCCUGCCCAGUGCCAGAAGGUUAAAGAAGUUGGUUAGCAUUAGCGAAGCUGAUAACUGAAGCCCUGGUGAACGGCGGCCGUAACUAUAACGGUCCUAAGGUAGCGAAAUUCCUUGUCGGGUAAGUUCCGACCCGCACGAAAGGCGUAAUGAUUUGGAUACUGUCUCGGAGAGGGGCUCGGUGAAAUAGACUUGUCUGUGAAGAUGCGGACUACCUGCACCUGGACAGAAAGACCCUAUGAAGCUUUACUGUAACUUGAGAUUGAAAUUGGACUUUAUCUGCGCAGUAUAGGUGGGAGACGCUGAAAAUAUUCUUGCGGGAAUAUUGGAGUCAUCAGUGAGAUACCACUCUUAUAAUGUUAGAUUUCUAACUUUGUAUCAUUAUCUGGUCAAAGAACAGUUUCAGGCGGGCAGUUUGACUGGGGCGGUCGCCUCCCAAACGGUAACGGAGGCGCACAAAGGUUUCCUCUGAACGUGUAGAAAUCGUAUCUAGAGUGUAAAGGCAUAAGGAAGCUUGACUGUGAGACCUACAAGUCGAGCAGGGACGAAAGUCGGUCUUAGUGAUCUGACGGUGCUGAGUGGAAAGGCCGUCACUCAACGGAUAAAAGUUACUCUAAGGAUAACAGGCUGAUCUCCCCCAAGAGUUCACAUCGACGGGGAGGUUUGGCACCUCGAUGUCGGCUCAUCGCAUCCUGGGGCGGUAGUACGUCCCAAGGGUUGGGCUGUUCGCCCAUGAAAGCGGUACGCGAGCUGGGUUCAGAACGUCGUGAGACAGUUCGGUCCAUAUCCGGUGUAGGCGUUAGAAUAUUGAGAGGAGCCUUCUUUAGUACGAGAGGACCGAGAAGGACAUACCUCUGGUGUACCAGUUAUCGUGCCAACGGUAAACGCUGGGUAGCCAUGUAUGGAGAGGAUAACCGCUGAAAGCAUCUAAGUGGGAAGCCCACCUCAAGAUAAGUA
This 1239-nucleotide ribosomal RNA is filed under the name metagenome. RNAcentral describes it as "bacterial LSU rRNA". It matches the Rfam family "Bacterial large subunit ribosomal RNA", at positions 1564 to 2810 of the family's 2925-position model. The record is from RNAcentral.